Molecule: ribosomal RNA, 254 nt
Filed under: uncultured bacterium
Lineage: Bacteria
Description: partial 16S ribosomal RNA
Rfam family: Bacterial small subunit ribosomal RNA
Source: RNAcentral
UACGUAGGGUGCGAGCGUUGUCCGGAAUUAUUGGGCGUAAAGAGCUCGUAGGCGGUCUGUCGCGUCGAUCGUGAAAACUUGGGGCUUAACCCUGAGCUUGCGGUCGAUACGGGCAUGACUGGAGUUCGGCAGGGGAGACUGGAAUUCCUGGUGUAGCGGUGAAAUGCGCAGAUAUCAGGAGGAACACCGGUGGCGAAGGCGGGCCUCUGGGCCGAUACUGACGCUGAGGAGCGAAAGCGUGGGGAGCGAACAGG